CUUUAAGCACCAGUAACCUGAGAGCGUGUGAAAGAAAAGACUGCUAUAAAUGAGGGAAGGGGAGGUGCUGGACAAGAGGAGAGUGAACGUUUUUUUUUGCCGACAGUUAGCUGUUAGUUAUUUAACACAGCCCCCUGGAAUCCCAAGGGACACCCUUCCCCCCACCUCCAAGAAAACUUCACAAUAAGAUAAAAGAUCUGCUGUACCCGAGUCCUGGUGGAUGACAAGCCAUUAACCUUCUGACCAGAAGGUGAGAAAACUGCUACUGAGCCAAGAGAUACAGCAGGGUACAGGCCCUUCCAGCCCAAUGAACUGCAAUGCUCAGCAACUCACCGAUUUAAGCCUAACUUAAUCACAAUUUACAAUGACCAAUUAACCUACUAACUGGGACGUCUUUGGAAUGUGGGAGGAAACCGGAACACCCAGAGGAAACCCACAUGCUCACAGGAAGGGCACACAAGCUCCUUACAAUGGACGCCAGAACUGAAGUUCCAACCACCUCCUAUG
Long non-coding RNA from Mobula hypostoma (lesser devil ray), 507 nucleotides. RefSeq lists it as uncharacterized. Lineage: Eukaryota; Metazoa; Chordata; Chondrichthyes; Myliobatiformes; Myliobatidae. The record is from RefSeq and is a predicted model, not a curated record. The transcript has 3 exons.